UUAGAUGUAAAACAUUGAAUUCUUUUUUUUUUAUCAAACUGCUUACUUUCCAAAUAAAAGGUCUUACACUCCAUUUCUGGAGGAGAGAUUCAGACUGGGGAGGGCUGUCUUAGCAACCAGGUCAGCCUUGCCAUUAAUAGAAAAGGAAAUUACAUCAAAAGAUAGACUAAAAUGAUAGAUGUCAAACAGUUUCGGGCGUGAUUCCUUAGCUCUCCUCAAGAUGAUUAGAACUUGGGAAUCCGAUAGAACUACCAACGAUCAGACAUUUGACGCAGCUGCAAUCAUGACUGCUUUACGAACAGCAAUGACUUCACCCAUAAGUGCUGAAGAUACAGAAGAACGAGAAUCUCUUAUGGUUGGAGGAACAGCAGCUCCAACACCUGAAAAAUUACCACCAAUACCAUAAUUACCUGAGCUUGAGUGCGAAGCAGCAUCGACGUGACCGACAACAUGACCAGGAGAGAUCCGAGGGGUCCAGGCAACAUCCGGGAGCUGGUGCUAGCGUUUUAAACCGAAACCAGACUUUACUUGAGCAGCUUCCUAUUCUGAGAAGACUCUGUUUUCGAAGAUUAGUUUGUAAAACUUUGAAUUUAUCAUUUUAAUUUUAAUCCGACAGAAAACAAAUAAAAAGCCUAUGUUGUGUGGUUCUAUUUAAAUAUAUACAUAUAGUGGAACGUCAUUGAUAUGAG
This 689-nucleotide long non-coding RNA is filed under the name Brassica rapa (field mustard). RNAcentral's name for it is "long non-coding RNA (BRAP_LNC001584)". Lineage: Eukaryota; Viridiplantae; Streptophyta; Magnoliopsida; Brassicales; Brassicaceae. The record is from RNAcentral.